UUUCACCCAAACAGAUCUUUAUUGCAUAUAUUCAUCUUCCAACAGAUACACAUUUAUUUUAAAUUUCCAAACACCAUACUGUUAAGCUAAGUUAAUUAUACUCUGUCGCGAAUUUAUUUUUCGUCUAAACUACUGUGAACUCAUAAGAUUUUGCAGCAAGCCAAAGUUAACCAAGUUCCAUUGAAAUGGUGAAGUCUGCAUAUCAUCUCACCUACGCAUUGAAACGCUCAACGAGGUAUAACGUAGUUCCUUCCACAACUCCAACAGCAAACAAUUGAGCAUCAUCAGGAAGAUAAGCAUUCCCCAUUCGGAGUACCUUAUUUUCGAUGACAACGUCGUGUUCUGCAUGAAGUUUUGCCUUCAACUGAUCUAUGGUAGUACUAUCGUGGAUGACAUAUUCAUAUUGAAUGUCGCCAGCCUCUAAGUAGAUCGUGACUUUAAUUUUUUCGAGGAGAAUAAUUGAGGUCUCAGAAGGAAUGUUAUAGUCUUGUAGAGUCAGUUCAUCCCUUAGGAAUUGCCCUGCCCAUGAGAGCUCUUGCCUUUCUACUGGGAAUGGGAUGCGAAGCACUUCCAAAAUAAGUUGCUUUACGCCGAUAAUUUGUGUAGCGAGAGAAAUCAGCAGAAUGGAUUCUCCUCCACUCCAUACGAAUGUGAUGAGCGGGGUCUGUCAAAUACCAAUUAUUCUGUUAUAUAUAUCAAAUUGUGCAGGCAAAUAAACUCAGAAAAAGAAUAUUAUGAUUUAAUUAUUAUUCCCAAAUGAAUGAUUUAUUAUAAGAUAAAAGGCUUAUGGAGUGCAAAAAUGCUUACUUCCGGAGGCGGAUUGGAGUCGGGAUGGUGGAAGGGAUCAAAAUCGAAUAUUUCGUUGGGAUCAUAGUCUUCCCACAUUGUGCCACUAGAUAGUUUUAUGCAUGCUUCAAUGUGCGAAGGGGAAUGAUCUUGUGAAAAUGUAUCUCCUCAUGGCAUUAGCAUGGGGUUGCCUUGAAUGUGAUUUGCAUGUCUUUAAUUCAUGCAUAUUUUGUUCCAAAACUUUUGACUAAACAUGAAGUCAACCCAAGUUAAUUAUUGUCACGCAUCUUCUAUGUGAAAAUGCAGCCAAUGCCAUAAAGAACAAUUUAAACUUCAUUAAUCUAAACUUAAGCAUAAGAAUAGGACCAUGUCAACAUGCAUACGAUUGAUGUCAGAAAUAAGAUUGAUGUCAAGUUAGGUUUAAUGUCAAUUACUUUACCUUUACGUGUAACUUAUUAAUUAUUGGUUUAGUGAUAUUUUACCUCUACAAUAUUGGAAGAUAUAGUAGAAAUGAACAUAAGUGGAUUGGAUUUUUAUUGUUUCGACAAAUAAAGAGAAAGAUAUAGAUUUUUAUUUUGUUUCAACAAAUAAAGAAAAAAGUCGCCGUCUAUGGGAAUCGAACCCACGACCACACGGUUAAAAGCCGUGCGCUCUACCGGCUGAGCUAAGACGGCAUUUGCAUCACAACAGAUUUUGAAAACCCUAACCUCUACACAAACGUGAAGCCACUUGGAGUAAUAGCAUCAACAUAAUCUAAGCUUGACUUAUAGAACGUAGAUCAUGAAUAUUUGAGAUGCAAGUAUGUACCCAAAAAAAUAAUAUCAUUGAUAUUGUGGGAGCAAAUAUUUUCGUUUCCAAUCACAGCACGCUACGUGGAAAAGAAAAUGAUCUCUUAAAUUAAUUAAUUGAACCAGUUUAUCUGGCUAAUUAAUUAAUUGGGAUAAAUAUCUUAAUUAAUAUGAUAUUAUCUUUAUUUAAUAAGAUAAUAUCAUUAAUUCAGAUAUUAUCCUAAUAAAGAGAAGAUAAUAUCAUUAAUUCAGAUAUUAUCUUCAUAAAAGGAGAUAAUAUCAUUUAUUUCAGAUAUUAUCUAAGUCCGACUCGAUCCCUACGACUUUGGGUGGAGAAUAAACUCAGCAUAUUCUCUACAAAACCCUACUCCCGAGGCUCCUAUAAAUAGAGGACCUCAUUCAUCAUUCAAGGUACAUCUAAACCUAUUCCUAAUACCCAAGAAAAAUACCUGAAGCUCUCUCUCCCUCUCCACUCUCCAUAUUUUCUCCACACGGCUCCGGCCACCACACACGGCUCUGGCUGCCCGGUUCACACCAUACAUACAACUCCGUACCCUUGCUUAGCUAUUGUUUUCCUACAAACACUCGAACUAACUUAGGCAUUGGAGGGCCUUUGGCCAACACCCCCCAUGUGUGGUCUAUUUACUCCAAUAUUUUUUUACAGGAAACGAGGAAGAGAUAGAAGGAAGGCCGAAAGUUGAGGGAUCUAGAAGUGAACAUUCUUCCGUGAGAUUAUUUGCACAAACAGAUACAUUAGAAGAACAGAGAGCCUAUAUCUUAAUUUUAUUGUGUACAUAAUUGGUUAUAGAUUUCAGAAAAUUCGAGUUUUCCCCUUAAAUUCUAAUCAAACUUUUUUCUCAAGAGCCUCUAUGAAUUUCAGGAAGUUACACAAAAAGAUUGGACUUGAAUUCCAAGCCCUCAUUAGAGUCUGAAAACCAGGCCUGAAGCCCAGAACCGACCCAAAGUAAAUAAUCGGGCCUUUCCUUUAAGAUUCAAAAUAAUUAGCCCGUCUUUAUAUAUUCAACAGCCCCGAUCUGACCCGGAGUAAGUCCAAGCUGAAUUUCGUGCUUGUGUAAUGUGUUACAUUUUCACCUCAAUGCUUUCGCGCCUUACUUUCUUUGUCAUUUUCUCCCUCCCAGUUUUUCUUGUUGUUGUUAUGUUUUUAUAAAUAAGCUCAUUUUAGUAUAAUAUAUUAUACAAAAACCUAUAUAGAGUCUAUUUAGAGAGAAAAAUCCAGAACUAGUUGCUUGUCAUUUUUUAAUUGUUUCUUAGAAAAUUUUAACACACUAAGAAUCAAUUAAAAAUGACAAGCGACUAGUUUUGGGGUUUCUUUCCAAAUAGGGCUCUGUAAGGAUUUUUGUAUAACCAAGUCCCAUUGAAACGCUAAGUUAUUUUUCCAUACCAUCUCACAUACGUUUUUUAUCCUCAAUGAGAAAUAACUAAGCUCCUUCAACAUCUCCGGCAACCAAGAGUUGAGCAUGAUCAUCAAGAUAACUAUUAUCCACCAUCCAGAGUACCUUAUGUUCAAUGUCUACGCCUUGUUCCGUCUGAAGUUUUGCCUUCAACUCACCCACGGUAAUACCAUCGAAGACUACGUACACAUAACAAUGGCCAUCGAACUCCAAGUAGAUCUUGACUUCAAUUUUCUUAUAGAUAACAAGGAAAGCAGUAGGGGGAAUGUGAUAGUCUUGCAGAGUCAGUUCAUCUUUCAGGCACUGCCCUUCCCAUGAGAGCUCUUGCCUAUCUAUUGGGAUGGGGAUGCGAAGCACUUCUGAAAUCAGUAGCUUUACGUCGAUAAUUCUUGUAGCCAUGGGAACCAGCAGAAUGGAUUCUCCUCCACUCCAUAGGAAUGUGAUCAGCGAGGUCUGUCAAAUACCAAUCAAUUUG
This 3461-nucleotide long non-coding RNA is filed under the name Prunus persica (peach). RNAcentral's name for it is "long non-coding RNA (PPER_LNC008607)". The stretch from base 2808 to 2898 matches the Rfam family "MIR6288 microRNA precursor family". Lineage: Eukaryota; Viridiplantae; Streptophyta; Magnoliopsida; Rosales; Rosaceae. The record is from RNAcentral.